RNAcentral lists this long non-coding RNA (1239 nucleotides) under Rattus norvegicus (Norway rat). RNAcentral describes it as "long non-coding RNA NONRATT023437". Lineage: Eukaryota; Metazoa; Chordata; Mammalia; Rodentia; Muridae. The record is from RNAcentral.
CUGCAACCAGCUCAGUGCUUGAGUUCUGGCUUUCCUUCCAGAACUUGAUUCCCCCUCAGACUCUGGGUUCUCAGCUGGGCCAGGCAGUUCUGAAGGUGGGGGCUGCACAACCAACCACACUUCUUUAACAAGGCAGGAGGACCUCAGAGGCCCCUCCCUCAGGAACGGAAAUGGAGCUAACUUUCUCUGAGCUUAGGAUUUGUAAGGCACUGAAAUUAACUAGAGCCGGGGGAGUGGGAACGAAAUGGGAGAGGGGGAUGAGUGACCCUGGAUGCUUUCUCUCCAACCCCAGGGAGGGUCCUCACAGUAACAACAGGGCGGUUGCCCCUUUCUCACUCAGUGUGGGAACCACCCCUAGGUGACACAGUCAUGAGCAUGUGCCCCCAUUGUGACUCAGUGGACUCUAGAGGAGGCCUGGAUGCCGGAAGUCAAGAAAGGAAAGCCCAGGAAGGCUAGGCUUCCCAUCUUGAGAUGUCUUCCAGGAACAGUCUUGAGUGGGCUCAGUGAUGGCUGGGGUGGCCCGAGGGCCUGAGCACACAAGUAGGGGCAGGACGGUCCGAAGAUGGCAGAGAGCACUUUGGAGCAGACCUGGCUUUGGCACAGCACAUCCUGGGCCUGCCUGCCAAUCAGAUGACCCUCAAUCCCCGAGACCCAGGGGAAGGCCCUCUUGGGGCUGAUGCAGGUUAUGCAGGGAGGAAGGUGAAGAAGACAGCCAAUGAGAAGGAUGGUGCCUUGAGAAAGCCUGCAUUCUGAGAUUGUGUGUGUGUUCCUUACCAGAAAGGUCUCAGCUUCCAUAACUUCUUUAACUCCUCCUAGCUGGGUGUUCCACCCACUUCCCCACACGACAGGGACACCCAGAAUUGGGUCCUUUCUCAGAAACUACCCGUGGGAGAAGGAAGUUGCUUCAUUGAUGAGGAAGGGAGAAAGGCCUGGUCUGGGGCAGAGGUGUGGGCAAAGUCCAUGGAUCUCAAGGGGCACACUAUUCUGAAGUCAACCCUUCUUGGAGCUCCUGCGGGCCAGCUGAAACCUUCCUUGUGAAGGUUUCCACAGCGAAGCCUCUCCUGCUGCCGUUUCCCUACUGCCCUGCAUUUCUAAGGCCCCAGUGUAAACUCCAGGUCUGACACUGAUACACUGGCUGAGUCGGGCUUCCCUGACAUGAGUGUGCAUCGUCACACACUGCCAAAACCGAGAAAAGCCACGUGCAGGACGGGAGAAAUACUGUGAAUCAUGAAUCUGCUA